AACGAACGCUGGCGGCAUGCCUAACACAUGCAAGUCGAACGAGACCUUCGGGUCUAGUGGCGCACGGGUGCGUAACGCGUGGGAACCUGCCCUUAGGUUCGGAAUAACUCCCCGAAAGGGGUGCUAAUACCGGAUAAUGUCUUCGGACCAAAGAUUUAUCGCCUUUGGAUGGGCCCGCGUUGGAUUAGCUAGUUGGUAGGGUAAAAGCCUACCAAGGCGACGAUCCAUAGCUGGUCUGAGAGGAUGAUCAGCCACACUGGGACUGAGACACGGCCCAGACUCGUGGGGGGGCCGGAGGGGGGAAAUAUUGGAGAAGGGGAGAAGGCGUGACCAACCAUGGCCGGGGGAGGAAGGAGGCCUUGGGGGUUGAAAAGUUUUUUCCCCGGGAAGGAAAAGCACAGACCGGGGAAAAAAGGCCCGGCCAACCCCGGGC
RNAcentral lists this ribosomal RNA (433 nucleotides) under uncultured bacterium. Its description in RNAcentral is "partial 16S ribosomal RNA". It matches the Rfam family "Bacterial small subunit ribosomal RNA", at positions 29 to 508 of the family's 1533-position model. The record is from RNAcentral.